RNAcentral lists this long non-coding RNA (1417 nucleotides) under Macaca fascicularis (crab-eating macaque). RNAcentral describes it as "lncRNA (ENSMFAG00000048465.1)". Lineage: Eukaryota; Metazoa; Chordata; Mammalia; Primates; Cercopithecidae. The record is from RNAcentral.
UUAAGCUGCAGCGAGAUGACAUUUGCUCCUUUUCUUAAGACUCACAGAGGACAAAGGAAGCCCAGAAGUGGUCACUCAUAUUUCCUUCUGUCUUCAAAAUGCUUUGCAAUAACAAUCACAGGGCCAACUGGGACGUUAUUAUCAUGGGUUCACUAUUUUCUCUACAUUUUUCAAGAAAUGGUGCCCUAAAUUUUCCUUGAGUAUCCCCCAUCCCCAACCCCAGUCCAUUUGGUCCACAUUGGCUAAUCAGAACACAAACUUCCUCUCUUGGUGACUGGGGUCUCCAUGGCCGAUGACUCAAGUUGGGCAAUCAGUAAGUCCCUUGAUUUUCAUGGGAGUGGCCAGAGAUGACUAGAAGGCAAUGUUCUCUCCUAGGUUGAACUGAACCUGUGAGGCAGCCACUUUGUCACUGCAUGGAACAUAGAACACAGAGCUGAGAAAUGAAGUGACAAUUAUGUCACUUGAGGCACUGGAUGGAUCAAUGCUUAAAGCCUUGAGUUUCUCCGUCAUGUGAAACAAUGCCAACCUUUUUCUUCUUUCGUAAAUUUUAUUGAGCUUUCUACCAUCUGCCAUGAAAAGGGUUCCAACUGAUUAAAAAAUAAAUUGCUAAGCUUGAGUUUUAAAACAAAGAAUCACAAUACAUCAGAAUGAGACUUCCACGUGCAAGCCCACUGCUGUGGCCAGAAGAACCAGCGUGAAUGAGGUCUGGACACUCAGUGCUUCCUCCCAGUCCCGGCGUGUUCAACAUAACCAGAUGGCUGCCACUCCACUCAGCCACCCCCACCUCACCUAGCAGUGACAUGUCCCCGAGGAGCAUUCCAGUCAAUAACUCAGAGGUGACUAAACAUUUAUACUGCAUAUACAGUGAUAACGCAGCUGCAUUUUAGAAUAGCUGAGAAAACACAAUAGACCUUACAAUAAAAUAGGGACUGAUAAACUCAUUCAGAAAAGCUAGAGCGGGCUUCCUUAUGAAUUAGUGGAAAACUCCUACAAGAGUCCUCAUGAUUAUUCAAACAUAGCAAAGGAGUCAGGAUGGUUUGAUUUUCUUUGCGUUCAUAGUAUUAUUUUGAGUUUAGUCUGGUCUGUAGUGUGGGUAAGAGGAGAAAAACCAAGUCACCUCUCAAUGUUGACUUUUCCUUGAACUAUCUGCCCCAAAAUGGUUUUUUUUUUUCCCCCAACUCCUUAGAGUUUGACACAAACUAAGAGUGGCAAACACUACAGAUGAGGUGAUGGGCAAGCUGUAAGGAGCUGAGAUUGUUAUCUGCAGAUAAAGCAGAGAGGCCCUGAAAUGGGGCUGGGAUGUUUCAAGAAGAAUUUCCCAGGAGGCUUCCAGGUCAGCUUAUGGGAUCAGGUUGGCUCCACUCUGCUCUCAGCUCCAGGAGCUCUGCAAGAUCAUUCCUCAUCUUUGACAGAACGU